Molecule: transfer RNA, 78 nt
Filed under: Flavobacteriales bacterium
Lineage: Bacteria; Pseudomonadati; Bacteroidota; Flavobacteriia; Flavobacteriales
Description: tRNA-Pro
Rfam family: tRNA
About the family: Transfer RNA (tRNA) molecules are approximately 80 nucleotides in length. Their secondary structure includes four short double-helical elements and three loops (D, anti-codon, and T loops).
Source: RNAcentral
CGGGGUGUAGCUUAGUCCGGUUAAAGCGCACGUCUGGGGGGCGUGAGAUCGAAGGUUCAAAUCCUUUCACCCCGACCA